Molecule: non-coding RNA, 146 nt
Organism: Caenorhabditis elegans
Lineage: Eukaryota; Metazoa; Nematoda; Chromadorea; Rhabditida; Rhabditidae
Source: Ensembl
AGGAAUGCGUAGAGGAAUGGGUCGACGGCGGCAUUAAAGAACAGAAGCAGGAAACUGAUGGGUUGGAGUACACUUUGAAGGCAGUUCAAACAUCUUGGCGCUGAAAAGUUUGAUGUUUAUGAUCUUGGAACUUGGAGGUUCAGGUG